CGUUGCUCACACGUUAAUUCUAAAUCCACACUCCUGGGGUAGUUUUGCUUGUGGGAAAACAACUCCAACAACUUGUCUUCUUGUUAUAUAAACACACCAACUCUAGAAACUUAACAUAAACACAACUCGCACUACUACAAGCUUAAUUACCAUCUCAUAACUAACUUAAAUUUAUCAUUUCUUUUCAACUUACAUUUCAGAACACUCACUUUAAUUUCUUCAUUCUUAGUCAAAAUGACACACAUUUCAUUGGCCAUCAUCACUACAAGGAGCAUUAACAAGUCAUACAAUGAAGAUGGAUGGAUUUGUUAUACAUCGGAAGCUUGCAUUGAAGAAGAUUAUAACAAUAAGGAUGGAGGUUCCGAACUAAAUGCAUACAGAGAAGGUGAUGAUGACGAUGAUGGUGGUUAUGACUAUGCUCCAGCUGCAUAAACUCUUGAGUACUAGCUUACAUUACUUCUAGUAUUAGUAUUAACAAAAUGUCUACUCCAAAUUAGCUCAUAUGCCCAAAACUCAGGAGCUACCAUGUAUUGAGAUCCUUUACUUAUAGUCGAAUUUAAAUUUCACAAACUAAAAGAACCUAACAACAAGCUUGUUAUGCGUUUUCUAUUUAGAGUUUCUUUCCCCAUCAUUUCCUUGACCAUCUAAUGCAAGGCAAAUCAUUAACACAAAGGAACAGAGUCAAUAUAAAAGAAAAAGUAAUGCGUCAUUCUAUUGAAAGAUAAAUUCUUUUUCUCGCAUAUAGAUUACGUAUUUGUAUUAUACAUUGAUUAAUGCAUGGAUUAUGGAUAUCCACUAUCCAAUUUAAACUCCUAAGCAUGUUUAAAGUUUUAUUAUUAUUUUUUUCAUUCCAUUAAAUCAUUUUUAAUAAUGUCAAGAAACUACCGAUGACUCUUGUUGAUAGAAGAUAUCGCGCUGUAGGUCAUUCUCGAAUAUCUAUUAUUUGAGAUUUUCCUUCACUCAUUCUGAAAUUAUGUUCUUAAGGGACAUACGUUGGACAAAUGUUUGAGACAACGUGUAUCACAUGUUAAAUCAGAUCGACAGAUUAUCACAAAUACUAAGGAAUUAAAUGCGGAAAGCAAUAAAGAAUACAAGAAAAUUGU
This 1103-nucleotide long non-coding RNA is filed under the name Lathyrus oleraceus (garden pea). RNAcentral's name for it is "Pisum sativum (pea) long non-coding RNA (PSAT_LNC000420)". Lineage: Eukaryota; Viridiplantae; Streptophyta; Magnoliopsida; Fabales; Fabaceae. The record is from RNAcentral.